CCUAAUACAUGCAAGUCGAGCGGACGGAUGGGAGCUUGCUCCCUGAAGUCAGCGGCGGACGGGUGAGUAACACGUGGGCAACCUGCCUGUAAGACUGGGAUAACUUCGGGAAACCGGAGCUAAUACCGGAUAAUGCAUAACCUCUCAUGAGGUUAUGCUGAAAGAUGGUUUCGGCUAUCACUUACAGAUGGGCCCGCGGCGCAUUAGCUAGUUGGUGAGGUAACGGCUCACCAAGGCAACGAUGCGUAGCCGACCUGAGAGGGUGAUCGGCCACACUGGGACUGAGACACGGCCCAGACUCCUACGGGAGGCAGCAGUAGGGAAUCUUCCGCAAUGGACGAAAGUCUGACGGAGCAACGCCGCGUGAGUGAUGAAGGUUUUCGGAUCGUAAAACUCUGUUGUUAGGGAAGAACAAGUGCCGGAGUAACUGCCGGCACCUUGACGGUACCUAACCAGAAAGCCACGGCUAACUACGUGCCAGCAGCCGCGGUAAUACGUAGGUGGCAAGCGUUGUCCGGAAUUAUUGGGCGUAAAGCGCGCGCAGGCGGUCUCUUAAGUCUGAUGUGAAAGCCCACGGCUCAACCGUGGAGGGUCAUUGGAAACUGGGGGACUUGAGUGCAGAAGAGAAAGUGGAAUUCCACGUGU
RNAcentral lists this ribosomal RNA (645 nucleotides) under Bacillus sp. HPC720. RNAcentral describes it as "bacterial SSU rRNA". It matches the Rfam family "Bacterial small subunit ribosomal RNA", at positions 47 to 676 of the family's 1533-position model. The record is from RNAcentral. Lineage: Bacteria; Bacillati; Bacillota; Bacilli; Caryophanales; Bacillaceae.